GCUGAUAAGCGACGUAACCCAGUAGAAAAAUGGCAAGUUUCUGAAAUGAUAGUCGUCUAAUGAGGCUUAGUAUUUUUUGAAAUAAUUGUCUGGUAGCCAAUUUGAGACAAAACUGAAAAUUUACAAUCCACUCAACUGUUCCGCAGACUAAUUCGUAACUAGUUACAAAAUUAUUCAUCGCAAUGUUUGUCUUCGGCGGUCAACGAAAUAUUCGCUUUGUUAGCAGCUGCUUGCAUCACAGAUAAGCAACACAAAUGCCUAUACAUACCUACAUACAUACAAGUGGAUACACACAGCUGGCAAAAUGACUGCGGGUUUUCUUCUAGAGUCUGAAUUGGAAUAUAAUAUUAGUUUGACGUGAGCCCUACUGUAACAGCAACCUGAUAGUCAACCACCAGCUCAGCCGACAUUUUUUUCUAAUCAUCAGAAAAAUUUACUUUAAUUAUUAUCUGGUUAUAUAAGUAAUAAAAUCCACUGAAUUUAAUAAACAUUUUUUUCGUUAUUUUCACAGAAAAAAAUCUUGAAUUUAC
Bactrocera oleae (olive fruit fly) is the source of this 530-nucleotide non-coding RNA. The record is from RefSeq and is a predicted model, not a curated record. Lineage: Eukaryota; Metazoa; Arthropoda; Insecta; Diptera; Tephritidae.